This 8179-nucleotide long non-coding RNA is filed under the name Citrus x clementina. RNAcentral's name for it is "Citrus clementina (C. clementina) long non-coding RNA (CCLE_LNC003761)". Lineage: Eukaryota; Viridiplantae; Streptophyta; Magnoliopsida; Sapindales; Rutaceae. The record is from RNAcentral.
UUCGUCCGCCGGACUCGGAAUGGCCCCAGACUUUGCGGGCGGCCUUCGUGUGCCAAAAAUAGGCCACGGGCACACCCGCGCCCAAAAAUCAGCCCCCGAAGGUCGGGGCGCCAAGAACCCCCAGCGGAAAAAUGGCCAAAAAACGGGUGGGCCGGCUAUAGCCUUGGUGGGGGGCGUGGGCGAAGUUCGUCCGCCGGACUCGGAAUGGCCCCAGACUUUGCGGGCGGCCUCCGUGUGCCAAAAAUAGGCCACGGGCACAGCCGCGCCCAAAAAUCAGCCCCCGAAGGUCGGGGUGCCAAGACCCCCCAGCGGAAAAAUGGCCAAAAAACGGGUGGGCUAUAGCCUUGGUGGGGGGCUUGGGCGAAGUUCGUCCGCCGGACUCGGAAUGGCCCCAGACUUUGCGGGCGGCUUCCGUGUGCCAAAAAUAGGCCACGGGCAGAGCCGCGCCCAAAAAUCAGCCCCCGAAGGUCGGGGUGCCAAGACCCCCCAGCGGAAAAAUGGCCAAAAAACGGGUGGGCUAUAGCCUUGGUGGGGGGCGUGGGCGAAGUUCGUCCGCCGGACUCGGAAUGGCCCCAGACUUUGCGGGCGGCCUUCGUGUGCCAAAAAUAGGCCACGGGCACACCCGCGUCCAAAAAUCAGCCCCCGAAGGUCGGGGCGCCAAGACCCCCCAGCGGAAAAAUGGCCAAAAAACGGGUGGGCGGGCUAUAGCCUUGGUGGGGGGCGUGGGCGAAGUUCGUCCGCCGGACUCGGAAUGGCCCCAGACUUUGCGGGCGGCCUCCGUGUGCCAAAAAUAGGCCACGUGCACAGCCGCGCCCAAAAAUCAGCUCCCGAAGGUCGGGGCGCCAAGACCCCCCAGCGGAAAAAUGGCCAAAAAACGGGUGGGCUAUAGCCUUGGUGGGGGGCGUGGGCGAAGUUCGUCCGCCGAACUCGGAAUGGCCCCAGACUUUGCGGGCGGCCUCCGUGUGCCAAAAAUAGGCCACGGGCACAGCCGCGCCCAAAAAUCAGCCCCCGAAGGUCGGGGUGCCAAGACCCCCCAGCGGAAAAAUGGCCAAAAAACGGGUGGGCUAUAGCCUUGGUGGGGGGCUUGGGCGAAGUUCGUCCGCCGGACUCGGAAUGGCCCCAGAAUUUGCGGGCGGCUUCCGUGUGCCAAAAAUAGGCCACGGGCACAGCCGCGCCCAAAAAUCAGCCGCCGAAGUCGGGGCGCCAAGAACCCCCAGCGGAAAAAUGGCCAAAAAACGGGUCGGCUAUAGCCUUGGUGGGGGGCGUGGGCGAAGUUCGUCCGCCGGACUCGGAAUGGCCCCAGACUUUGCGGGCGGCCUCCGUGUGCCAAAAAUAGGCCACGGUCACAGCCGCGCCCAAAAAUCAGCCCCCGAAGGUCGGGGCGCCAAGACCCCCCAGCGGAAAAAUGGCCAAAAAACGGGUGGGCUAUAGCCUUGGUGGCGGGCGUGGGCGAAGUUCGUCCGCCGAACUCGGAAUGGCCCCAGACUUUGCGGGCGGCCUCCGUGUGCCAAAAAUAGGCCACGGGCACAGCCGCGUCCAAAAAUCAGCCCCCGAAGUCGGGGCGCCAAGACCCCCCAGCGGAAAAAUGGCCAAAAAACGGGUGGGCUAUAGCCUUGGUGGGGGGCGUGGGCGAAGUUCGUCCGCCGGACUCGGAAUGGCCCCAGACUUUGCGGGCUGCUUCCGUGUGCCAAAAAUAGGCCACGGGCAGAGCCGCGCCCAAAAAUCAGCCCCCGAAGGUCGGGGCGCCAAGAACCCCCAGCGGAAAAAUGGCCAAAAAACGGGUCGGCUAUAGCCUUGGUGGGGGGCGUGGGCGAAGUUCGUCCGCCGGACUCGGAAUGGCCCCAGACUUUGCGGGCGGCCUCCGUGUGCCAAAAAUAGGCCACGGGCACAGCCGCGCCCAAAAAUCAGCCCCCGAAGGUCGGGGCGCCAAGACCCCCCAGCGGAAAAAUGGCCAAAAAACGGGUGAGCUAUAGCCUUGGUGGGGGGCGUGGGCGAAGUUCGUCCGCCGGACUCGGAAUGGCCCCAGACUUUGCGGGCGGCCUCCGUGUGCCAAAAAUAGGCCACGGGCACACCCGCGCCCAAAAAUCAGCCCCCGAAGGUCGGGGCGCCAAGACCCCCCAGCGGAAAAAUGGUCAAAAAACGGGUGGGCGGGGUAUAGCCUUGGUGGGGGGCGUGGGCGAAGUUCGUCCGCCGAACUCGGAAUGGCCCCAGACUUUGCGGGCGGCCUCCGUGUGCCAAAAAUAGGCCACGGGCACAGCCGCGCCCAAAAAUCAGCCCCCGAAGGUCGGGGUGCCAACACCCCCCAGCGGAAAAAUGGCCAAAAAACGGGUGGGCUAUAGCCUUGGUGGGGGGCGUGGGCGAAGUUCGUCCGCCGGACUCGGAAUGGCCCCAGACUUUGCGGGCGGCCUCCGUGUGCCAAAAAUAGGCCACGGGCACAGCCGCGCCCAAAAAUCAGCCGCCGAAGUCGGGGCGCCAAGAACCCCCAGCGGAAAAAUGGCCAAAAAACGGGUCGGCUAUAGCCUUGGUGGGGGGCGUGGGCGAAGUUCGUCCGCCGGACUCGGAAUGGCCCCAGACUUUGCGGGCGGCCUCCGUGAGCCAAAAAUAGGCCACGGGCACAGCCGCACCCAAAAAUCAGCCCCCGAAGGUCGGGGCGCCAAGACCCCCCAGCGGAAAAAUGGCCAAAAAACGGGUGAGCUAUAGCCUUGGUGGGGGGCGUGGGCGAAGUUCGUCCGCCGGACUCGGAAUGGCCCCAGACUUUGCGGGCGGCCUCCGUGUGCCAAAAAUAGGCCACGGGCACAGCCGCGUCAAAAAAUCAGCCCCCGAAGUCGGGGCGCCAAGACCCCCCAGCGGAAAAAUGGCCAAAAAACGGGUGGGCUAUAGCCUUGGUGGGGGGCGUGGGCGAAGUUCGUCCGCCGGACUCGGAAUGGCCCCAGACUUUGCGGGCUGCUUCCGUGUGCCAAAAAUAGGCCACGGGCAGAGCCGCGUCCAAAAAUCAGCCCCCGAAGGUCGGGGCGCCAAGACCCCCCAGCGGAAAAAUGGCCAAAAAACGGGUGGGCUAUAGCCUUGGUGGGGGGCGUGGGCGAAGUUCGUCCGCCGGACUCGGAAUGGCCCCAGACUUUGCGGGCAGCCUUCGUGUGCCAAAAAUAGGCCACGGGCACACCCGCGCCCAAAAAUCAGCCCCCGAAGGUCGGGGCGCCAAGAACCCCCAGCGGAAAAAUGGCCAAAAAACGGGUGGGCGGGCUAUAGCCUUGGUGGGGGGCGUGGGCGAAGUUCGUCCGCCGGACUCGGAAUGGCCCCAGACUUUGCGGGCGGCCUCCGUGUGCCAAAAAUAGGCCACGUGCAGAGCCGCGCCCAAAAAUCAGCCCCCGAAGGUCGGGGUGCCAAGACCCCCCAGCGGAAAAAUGGCCAAAAAACGGGUGGGCUAUAGCCUUGGUGGGGGGCGUGGGCGAAGUUCGUCCGCCGGACUCGGAAUGGCCCCAGACUUUGCGGGCAGCCUUCGGGUGCCAAAAAUAGGCCACGGGCACACCCGCGCCCAAAAAUCAGCCCCCGAAGGUCGGGGCGCCAAGAACCCCCAGCGGAAAAAUGGCCAAAAAACGGGUGGGCGGGCUAUAGCCUUGGUGGGGGGCGUGGGCGAAGUUCGUCCGCCGGACUCGGAAUGGCCCCAGACUUUGCGGGCGGCCUCCGUGUGCCAAAAAUAGGCCACGUGCAGAGCCGCGCCCAAAAAUCAGCCCCCGAAGGUCGGGGUGCCAAGACCCCCCAGCGGAAAAAUGGCCAAAAAACGGGUGGGCUAUAGCCUUGGUGGGGGGCGUGGGCGAAGUUCGUCCGCCGGACUCGGAAUGGCCCCAGACUUUGCGGGCGGCCUCCGUGUGCCAAAAAUAGGCCACGGGCACAGCCGCGCCCAAAAAAAUCAGCCCCCGAAGGUCGGGGCGCCAAGACCCCCCAGCGGAAAAAUAGCCAAAAAACGGGUGGGCUAUAGCCUUGGUGGGGGGCGUGGGCGAAGUUCGUCCGCCGGACUCGGAAUGGCCCCAGACUUUGCGGGCGGCCUCCGUGUGCCAAAAAUAGGCCACGGGCACACCCGCGCCCAAAAAUCAGCCCCCGAAGGUCGGGGCGCCAAGACCCCCCAGCGGAAAAAUGGCCAAAAAACGGGUGGGCGGGGUAUAGCCUUGGUAGGGGGCGUGGGCGAAGUUCGUCUGCCGGACUCGGAAUGGCCCCAGACUUUGCGGGCGGCCUCCGUGUGCCAAAAAUAGGCCACGGGCACAGCCGCGCCCAAAAAUCAGCCCCCGAAGGUCGGGGCGCCAAGACCCCCCAGCGGAAAAAUGGCCAAAAAACGGGUGGGCUAUAGCCUUGGUGGGGGGCGUGGGCGAAGUUCGUCCGCCGAACUCAGAAUGGCCCCAGACUUUGCGGGUGGCCUCCGUGGGCCAAAAAUAGGCCACGGGCAGAGCCGCGCCCAAAAAUCAGCCCCCGAAGGUCGGGGUGCCAAGACCCCCCAGCGGAAAAAUGGCCAAAAAACGGGUGGGCUAUAGCCUUGGUGGGGGGCGUGGGCGAAGUUCGUCCGCCGGACUCGGAAUGGCCCCAGACUUUGCGGGCGGCUUCCGUGUGCCAUAAAUAGGCCACGGGCAGAGCCGCGCCCAAAAAUCAGCCCCCGAAGGUCGGGGUGCCAAGACCCCCCAGCGUAAAAAUGGCCAAAAAACGGGUGGGCUAUAGCCUUGGUGGGGGGCGUGGGCGAAGUUCGUCCGCCGGACUCGGAAUGGCCCCAGACGUUGCGGGCGGCCUCCGUGUGCCAAAAAUAGGCCACGGGCACAGCCGCGCCCAAAAAUCAGCCCCCGAAGGUCGGGGUGCCAACACCCCCCAGCGGAAAAAUGGCCAAAAAACGGGUGGGCUAUAGCCUUGGUGGGGGGCGUGGGCGAAGUUCGUCCGCCGGACUCGGAAUGGCCCCAGACUUUGCGGGCGGCCUCCGUGUGCCAAAAAUAGGCCACGGGCACAGCCGCGCCCAAAAAUCAGCCCCCGAAGUCAGGGCGCCAAGACCACCCAGCGGAAAAAUGGCCAAAAAACGGGUGGGCUAUAGCCUUGGUGGGGGGCGUGGGCGAAGUUCGUCCGCCGGACUCGGAAUGGCCCCAGACUUUGCGGGCGGUUUCCGUGUGCCAAAAAUAGGCCACGAGCAGAGCCGCGCCCAAAAAUCAGCCCCCGAAGGUCGGGGCGCCAAGACCCCCCAGCGGAAAAAUGGCCAAAAAACGGGUGGGCUAUAGCCUUGGUGGGGGGCGUGGGCGAAGUUCGUCCGCCGGACUCGGAAUGGCCCCAGACUUUGCGGGCGGCCUUCGUGUGCCAAAAAUAGGCCACGGGCACACCCGCGCCCAAAAAUCAGCCCCCGAAGGUCGGGGCGCCAAGAACCCCCAGCGGAAAAAUGGCCAAAAAACGGGUGGGCCGGCUAUAGCCUUGGUGGGGGGCGUGGGCGAAGUUCGUCCGCCGGACUCGGAAUGGCCCCAGACUUUGCGGGCGGCCUCCGUGUGCCAAAAAUAGGCCACGGGCACAGCCGCGCCCAAAAAUCAGCCCCCGAAGGUCGGGGUGCCAAGACCCCCCAGCGGAAAAAUGGCCAAAAAACGGGUGGGCUAUAGCCUUGGUGGGGGGCUUGGGCGAAGUUCGUCCGCCGGACUCGGAAUGGCCCCAGACUUUGCGGGCGGCUUCCGUGUGCCAAAAAUAGGCCACGGGCAGAGCCGCGCCCAAAAAGCAGCCCCCGAAGGUCGGGGUGCCAAGACCCCCCAGCGGAAAAAUGGCCAAAAAACGGGUGGGCUAUAGCCUUGGUGGGGGGCGUGGGCGAAGUUCGUCCGCCGAACUCAGAAUGGCCCCAGACUUUGCGGGUGGCCUCCGUGGGCCAAAAAUAGGCCACGGGCAGAGCCGCGCCCAAAAAUCAGCCCCCGAAGGUCGGGGUGCCAAGACCCCCCAGCGGAAAAAUGGCCAAAAAACGGGUGGGCUAUAGCCUUGGUGGGGGGCGUGGGCGAAGUUCGUCCGCCGGACUCGGAAUGGCCCCAGACUUUGCGGGCGGCUUCCGUGUGCCAUAAAUAGGCCACGGGCAGAGCCGCGCCCAAAAAUCAGCCCCCGAAGGUUCGGGUGUCAAGACCCCCUCACCGGAAAAAUGGCCAAAAAACGGGUGGGCUAUAGCCUUGGUGGGGGGCGUGGGCGAAGUUCGUCCGCCGAACUCGGAAUGGCCCCAGACUUUGUGGGCGGCCUCCGUGUGCCAAAAAUGGCCCAGGGCCGAACCCCCCCCCAAAAUCCACCCCCGAAGGGUGGGGGGCCCAGGCUCCCCCAGCGGAAAAAUGGCCAAAAAACGGGUGGGCUAUAGCCUUGGUGGGGGGCGUGGGCGAAGUUCGUCUGCCGGACUCGGAAUGGCCCCAGACGUUGCGGGCGGCCUCCGUGUGCCAAAAAUAGGCCACGGGCACAGCCGCGCCCAAAAAUCAGCCCCCGAAGGUCGGGGUGCCAACACCCCCGAGCGGAAAAAUGGCCAAAAAACGGGUGGGCUAUAGCCUUGGUGGGGGGCGUGGGCGAAGUUCGUCCGCCGGACUCGGAAUGGCCCCAGACUUUGCGGGCGGCUUCCGUGUGCCAAAAAUAGGCCACGGGCAGAGCCGCGCCCAAAAAUCAGCCCCCGAUGGUCGGGGCGCCAAGACCCCCCAGCGGAAAAAUGGCCAAAAAACGGGUGGGCUAUAGCCUUGGUGGGGGGCGUGGGCUAAGUUCGUCCGCCGGACUCGGAAUGGCCCCAGACUUUGCGGGCGGCGUCCGUGUGCCAAAAAUAGGCCACGGGCAGAGCCGCGCCCAAAAAUCAGCCCCCGAAGGUCGGGGUGCCAAGACCCCCCAGCGGAAAAAUGGCCAAAAAACGGGUGGGCUAUAGCCUUGGUGGGGGGCGUGGGCGAAGUUCGUCCGCCGGACUCGGAAUGGCCCCAGACUUUGCGGGCGGCCUUCGUGUGCCAAAAAUAGGCCACGGGCACACCCGCGUCCAAAAAUCAGCCCCCGAAGGUCGGGGCGCCAAGACCCCCCAGCGGAAAAAUGGCCAAAAAACGGGUGGGCGGGCUAUAGCCUUGGUGGGGGGCGUGGGCGAAGUUCGUCCGCCGGACUCGGAAUGGCCCCAGCGGGCGGCCUCCGUGUGCCAAAAAUAGGCCACGUGCACAGCCGCGCCCAAAAAUCAGGUCCCGAAGGUCGGGGCGCCAAGACCCCCCAGCGGAAAAAUGGCCAAAAAACGGGUGGGCUAUAGCCUUGGUGGGGGGCGUGGGCGAAGUUCGUCCGCCGAACUCGGAAUGGCCCCAGACUUUGCGGGCGGCCUCCGUGUGCCAAAAAUAGGCCACGGGCACAGCCGCGCCCAAAAAUCAGCCCCCGAAGGUCGGGGUGCCAAGACCCCCCAGCGGAGAAAUGGCCAAAAAACGGGUGGGCUAUAGCCUUGGUGGGGGGCUUGGGCGAAGUUCGUCCGCCGGACUCGGAAUGGCCCCAGACUUUGCGGGCGGCUUCCGUGUGCCAAAAAUAGGCCACGGGCAGAGCCGCGCCCAAAAAUCAGCCCCCGAAGGUCGGGGUGCCAAGACCCCCCAGCGGAAAAAUGGCCAAAAAACGGGUGGGCUAUAGCCUUGGUGGGGGGCGUGGGCGAAGUUCGUCCGCCGGACUCGGAAUGGCCCCAGACUUUGCGGGCGGCCUUCGUGUGCCAAACAUAGGCCACGGGCACACCCGCGUCCAAAAAUCAGCCCCCUAAGGUCGGGGCGCCAAGAACCCCCAGCGGAAAAAUGGCCAAAAAACGGGUGGGCGGGCUAUAGCCUUGGUGGGGGGCGUGGGCGAAGUUCGUCCGCCGGACUCGGAAUGGCCCCAGACUUUGCGGGCGGCCUCCGUGUGCCAAAAAUAGGCCACGUGCACAGCCGCGCCCAAAAAUCAGCUCCCGAAGGUCGGGGCGCCAAGACCCCCCAGCGGAAAAAUGGCCAAAAAACGGGUGGGCUAUAGCCUUGGUGGGGGGCGUGGGCGAAGUUCGUCCGCCGAACUCGGAAUGGCCCCAGACUUUGCGGGCGGCCUCCGUGUGCCAAAAAUAGGCCACGGGCACAGCCGCACCCAAAAAUCAGCCCCCGAAGGUCGGGGUGCCAAGACCCCCCAGCGGAAAAAUGGCCAAAAAACGGGUGGGCUAUAGCCUUGGUGGGGGGCUUGGGCGAAGUUCGUC